Molecule: ribosomal RNA, 237 nt
Filed under: uncultured Porphyrobacter sp.
Lineage: Bacteria; Pseudomonadati; Pseudomonadota; Alphaproteobacteria; Sphingomonadales; Erythrobacteraceae
Description: partial 16S ribosomal RNA
Rfam family: Bacterial small subunit ribosomal RNA
Source: RNAcentral
GGAACUGCCGGUGAUAAGCCGGAGGAAGGUGGGGAUGACGUCAAGUCCUCAUGGCCCUUACAGGCUGGGCUACACACGUGCUACAAUGGCAUCUACAGUGGGCAGCUAUUCCGCAAGGAUGCGCUAAUCUCCAAAAGAUGUCUCAGUUCGGAUUGUCCUCUGCAACUCGAGGGCAUGAAGGCGGAAUCGCUAGUAAUCGCGGAUCAGCAUGCCGCGGUGAAUACGUUCCCAGGCCUU